RNAcentral lists this long non-coding RNA (464 nucleotides) under Homo sapiens (human). Its description in RNAcentral is "non-protein coding lnc-YIF1A-8:2". Lineage: Eukaryota; Metazoa; Chordata; Mammalia; Primates; Hominidae. The record is from RNAcentral.
CUGGGCCACGGGGCGAUGGCGCGGGUAGGACGCAUCCCUCAGAGGCCAGGAGGAGCGCGAGAAGGUCCCAGGACCCCCUUGGGAGGCGCCGCUCCCGAGAAUGUAGAGCCUGGGAGAUACCACCGCACGGAAUGGGGUGACGGUGUUAGCACUGGCCGUUUACACGUCCACCCCCAGGAGAGGCUGGGUUCCCCUCGUGUCUCCCCGUUGUCCAGCCCAAAGUAGGCCUGAGACAGAGCCAGGAACUGUUGCUGGAUGAAGAGGCAUGCUGGAGGGAAGCUUGGCAGCACGCAUGCAGCCCCGGCCGCAGCUGCCCAGUGCCCAGACACCCGCCUGCCCCUACCUGGGUCGGCUCUUCCACGCUCUUGUUGAGGAAGUUGAGGGAACUGGCCCGCUUCAUCCUGAGGGAAAAGGACAGCCUGGGAUUUGCCCAAGGAGGAACUCACGGGAGAUGGGGGCAGGGA